AAGUGCGAAUGCUGACAUAAGUAACGAUAAAACGGGUGAAAAACCCGUUCGCCGGAAGACCAAGGGUUCCUGUCCAACGUUAAUCGGGGCAGGGUGAGUCGGCCCCUAAGGCGAGGCUGAAAAGCGUAGUCGAUGGGAAACAGGUUAAUAUUCCUGUACUUGGUAAAGCUGCGAUGUGGGGACGGAGUAGGUUAGGUUAGCGUGCUGUUGGAUAUGCACGUUUAAGUUGGUAGGUGGGAAGUUUAGGCAAAUCCGGACUUCUAUUAAACACUGAGAGAUGAUGACGAGGCUCUACGGAGCUGAAGUAACUGAUACCACACUUCCAGGAAAAGCCACUAAGCGACAGGCUUUACUAAACCGUACUGAAAACCGACACAGGUGGUCAGGUAGAGAAUACUCAGGCGCUUGAGAGAACUCGGGUGAAGGAACUAGGCAAAAUAGCACCGUAACUUCGGGAGAAGGUGCGCCGGCGUAGAUUGUAAGGGCUUGCCCCUGAAGGUUGAACCGGUCGAAGAUACCAGCUGGCUGCAACUGUUUAUUAAAAACACAGCACUCUGCAAACACGAAAGUGGAGGUAUAGGGUGUGAUGCCUGCCCGGUGCUGGAAGGUUAAUUGAUGGUGUAAUCGAAAGAGAAGCACCUGAUCGAAGCCCCAGUAAACGGCGGCCGUAACUAUAACGGUCCUAAGGUAGCGAAAUUCCUUGUCGGGUAAGUUCCGACCUGCACGAAUGGCAUAAUGAUGGCCAGGCUGUCUCCACCCGAGACUCAGUGAAAUUGAAAUCGCCGUGAAGAUGCGGUGUACCCGCGGCUAGACGGAAAGACCCCGUGAACCUUUACUAUAGCUUGACACUGAACAUUGAAUUUUGAUGUGUAGGAUAGGUGGGAGACUAAGAAGUAGGAACGCCAGUUUCUAUGGAGUCAUCCUUGAAAUACCACCCUUUAACGUUUGAUGUUCUAACGAAGAUUACGAAACGUGGUCUCGGACAGUGUCUGGUGGGUAGUUUGACUGGGGCGGUCUCCUCCCAAAGCGUAACGGAGGAGCACGAAGGUUUGCUAAUCACGGUCGGACAUCGUGAGGUUAGUGCAAUGGUAUAAGCAAGCUUAACUGCGAGACAGACAAGUCGAGCAGGUACGAAAGUAGGUCAUAGUGAUCCGGUGGUUCUGAAUGGAAGGGCCAUCGCUCAACGGAUAAAAGGUACUCCGGGGAUAACAGGCUGAUACCGCCCAAGAGUUCAUAUCGACGGCGGUGUUUGGCACCUCGAUGUCGGCUCAUCACAUCCUGGGGCUGAAGUAGGUCCCAAGGGUAUGGCUGUUCGCCAUUUAAAGUGGUACGCGAGCUGGGUUUAGAACGUCGUGAGACAGUUCGGUCCCUAUCUGCCGUGGGCGUAGGAGAAUUGGUUGGGGCUGCUCCUAGUACGAGAGGACCGGAGUGGACGCACCACUGGUGUUCCGGUUGUGUCGCCAGACGCAUUGCCGGGUAGCUAAGUGCGGAAGAGAUAAGUGCUGAAAGCAUCUAAGCACGAAACUUGCCAAGAGAUGAGUUCUCCCUGUCUUUAAGACAGUAAGGGUUGU
This 1571-nucleotide ribosomal RNA is filed under the name Haemophilus influenzae. Its description in RNAcentral is "bacterial LSU rRNA". It matches the Rfam family "Bacterial large subunit ribosomal RNA", at positions 1286 to 2838 of the family's 2925-position model. Lineage: Bacteria; Pseudomonadati; Pseudomonadota; Gammaproteobacteria; Pasteurellales; Pasteurellaceae. The record is from RNAcentral.